This 374-nucleotide ribosomal RNA is filed under the name uncultured organism. RNAcentral's name for it is "bacterial SSU rRNA". It matches the Rfam family "Bacterial small subunit ribosomal RNA", at positions 526 to 897 of the family's 1533-position model. The record is from RNAcentral.
CAGAGGGGGCAAGCGUUGUUCGGAAUUACUGGGCGUAAAGGGCGCGUAGGCGGCCUUCUAAGUCGAACGUGAAAUCCCCGGGCUCAACCCGGGAACUGCGUCCGAUACUGGAAGGCUUGAAUCCGGGAGAGGGAUGUGGAAUUCCAGGUGUAGCGGUGAAAUGCGUAGAUAUCUGGAGGAACACCGGUGGCGAAGGCGACAUCCUGGACCGGUAUUGACGCUGAGGCGCGAAAGCCAGGGGAGCAAACGGGAUUAGAUACCCCGGUAGUCCUGGCCCUAAACGAUGAAUGCUUGGUGUGGCGGGUAUCGAUCCCUGCCGUGCCGAAGCUAACGCAUUAAGCAUUCCGCCUGGGGGAGUACGGUCGCAAGGCUAG